RNAcentral lists this ribosomal RNA (468 nucleotides) under uncultured bacterium. RNAcentral's name for it is "partial 16S ribosomal RNA". It matches the Rfam family "Bacterial small subunit ribosomal RNA", at positions 28 to 507 of the family's 1533-position model. The record is from RNAcentral.
GACGAACGCUGGCGGCGUGCUUAACACAUGCAAGUCGAACGGAAAGGCCCUGCUUUUGUGGGGUGCUCGAGUGGCGAACGGGGGAGUAACACGUGAGUAACCUGCCCUUGACUUUGGGAUAACUUCAGGAAACUGGGGCUAAUACCGGAUAGGAGCUCCUGCUGCAUGGUGGGGGUUGGAAAGUUUCGGCGGUUGGGGAUGGACUCGCGGCUUAUCAGCUUGUUGGUGGGGGAGUGGCUUACCAAGGCUUUGACGGGUAGCCGGCCUGAAAGGGUGACCGGCCACCUUGGGCCUGAGAGACGGCCCAGAGGCCUACGGGAGGCAGCAGUGGGGAAUAUUGCACAAUGGGCGGAAGCCUGAUGCAGAGACGCCGCGUGCGGGAUGACGGCCUUCGGGUUGUAAAACGCUUUAGCCUGUGACGACGCGUGAGUGACGGUAAUGGGUAAAGAAGCACCGGCUAACUUCGUG